AUGGAGGUCAUAAUAACUUGCCUAUAUAACAUCAAAUUGUGGUGCUCUUUUUUUUUCAAAUUUGAUUAAGCUUUUGUGCUUUAUGAUGUGGUGGCAUCUCUUAAUGGUGUAGCAUAUCGACUAGUUAGGGCUAACUAUCACCUAGAUCCCGAAAUAGGCUAUUUAAAGCAAUUUUUUUUUCAAGAAAAGCUUUGGGCCUAUUGAACCACUCCUCAAGUUCCAACUGGAGAGAUGCCCUUCAAUCUUUUCUUAGGAACUAAAGUGGUAAUUGUGGUCGAGAUCGAUCUUCCGACG
This 294-nucleotide long non-coding RNA is filed under the name Elaeis guineensis (African oil palm). RNAcentral describes it as "long non-coding RNA (EGUI_LNC027359)". Lineage: Eukaryota; Viridiplantae; Streptophyta; Magnoliopsida; Arecales; Arecaceae. The record is from RNAcentral.